CUGGGGGUUAGGAGGAGGCCGGGGCAGGGGGAAGAGGCUGAGGGCAUACCCGCCCCCUCCCCCUCGCAGCCGCCCGGUGGGGUCUCCCUACCGCCUAACUUAGGGGCCGAAGCGGAGAGCGUGAGCUCAUGGCCCAAAAACUGAAGGAGGAGUUCAGCAGAGUAACUGGAAGGACAGUGAUGGAGGUCUGCACUUGUGGACGUGAAAACAUCGUAUGCAAAUUAAAAGGACUUCAAAACUCUAGAGAAAGAUCUACAUCGGCAAAAAUUCCUUUUCUUCUGAAUUAUACCUCAAGAAAUGAUGUGCCUGGAGAAGCACAUUCCCAUGGAAGCUGACAUAACCAUCUUAUGACAAAGAAGUAGAACCAGGCUUAGGAAGAAGAUGAACCUGGAUGAGACAGAGGGAAGAUAAAAG
RNAcentral lists this long non-coding RNA (414 nucleotides) under Vulpes vulpes (red fox). RNAcentral's name for it is "lncRNA (ENSVVUG00000016691.1)". The record is from RNAcentral. Lineage: Eukaryota; Metazoa; Chordata; Mammalia; Carnivora; Canidae.